Molecule: non-coding RNA, 74 nt
Organism: Phrynosoma platyrhinos (Desert horned lizard)
Lineage: Eukaryota; Metazoa; Chordata; Lepidosauria; Squamata; Phrynosomatidae
Source: the annotation of a GenBank genome assembly
GCCAGUGUGCCAUAGUGGUUUGAGUGUUGGAUUAUGACUCUAAAGAGAACAGGGUUCAAUUCCCUGCUGGGCCA